RNAcentral lists this ribosomal RNA (466 nucleotides) under uncultured bacterium. RNAcentral describes it as "partial 16S ribosomal RNA". It matches the Rfam family "Bacterial small subunit ribosomal RNA", at positions 28 to 507 of the family's 1533-position model. The record is from RNAcentral.
GAUGAACGCUGGCGGCGUGCUUAACACAUGCAAGUCGAACGAUGAAGCCCAGCUUGCUGGGUGGAUUAGUGGCGAACGGGUGAGUAACACGUGAGUAACCUGCCCUUAACUCUGGGAUAAGCCUGGGAAACUGGGUCUAAUACCGGAUAGGAGCGUCCACCGCAUGGUGGGUGUUGGAAAGAUUUAUCGGUUUUGGAUGGACUCGCGGCCUAUCAGCUUGUUGGUGGGGUAAUGGCUCACCAAGGCGACGACGGGUAGCCGGCCUGAGAGGGUGACCGGCCACACUGGGACUGAGAGACGGCCCAGACUCCUACGGGAGGCAGCAGUGGGGAAUAUUGCACAAUGGGCGGAAGCCUGAUGCAGCGACGCCGCGGGCGGGAUGACGGCCUUCGGGUUGUAAACCUCUUUCAGAGGGGAAGAAGCGAGAGUGACGGUACCUGGAAAAGAAGCACCGGCUAACUACGUG